This 364-nucleotide long non-coding RNA is filed under the name Jatropha curcas. RNAcentral's name for it is "long non-coding RNA (JCUR_LNC001992)". The record is from RNAcentral. Lineage: Eukaryota; Viridiplantae; Streptophyta; Magnoliopsida; Malpighiales; Euphorbiaceae.
UUUAAUAUUGUUCCUAACUUUUUCUCCUAAGAAAUAAGGUAGUCCAGCCAAAAACUUUUCUUUCCAAAAGCUUUGAUUAGAGUCUUCCCUUAACAUUAACCUAGUUAGAAAAGUAGUUUUAUAUUCUUGAAAAUUACCUAAGUGUUUACAUUUUAAAUUACUAAGUAAUUCUGCAUUUUUAUCUUUUAAGUGAGAUGGAUCCCCAAUAAAAUGAAGUGAAAUAGUGAGAAUUAAAGAUGACACAGCAUCCUGAAUUACUUCACCAUUUUCAUCAUAUAUAGGUUCACCUUCAUCAUUGACUUGAAUUGAAUUUAAAAUUUCUAGUUGUUGUUGUUCAGUGAGAUGAUAGUCCCACCAACCUUUA